RNAcentral lists this ribosomal RNA (490 nucleotides) under uncultured bacterium. RNAcentral describes it as "partial 16S ribosomal RNA". It matches the Rfam family "Bacterial small subunit ribosomal RNA", at positions 30 to 507 of the family's 1533-position model. The record is from RNAcentral.
AUUGAACGCUGGCGGCAGGCCUAACACAUGCAAGUCGAAUGGUAACAGGAAACAGCUUGCUGUUUCGCUGACGAGUGGCGGACGGGUGAGUAAUGUCUGGGAAACUGCCUGAUGGAGGGGGAUAACUACUGGAAACGGUAGCUAAUACCGCAUAACGUCGCAAGACCAAAGAGGGGGACCUUCGGGCCUCUUGCCAUCAGAUGUGCCCAGAUGGGAUUAGCUAGUAGGUGGGGUAACGGCUCACCUAGGCGACGAUCCCUAGCUGGUCUGAGAGGAUGACCAGCCACACUGGAACUGAGACACGGUCCAGACUCCUACGGGAGGCGGCAGUGGGGAAUAUUGCACAAUGGGCGCAAGCCUGAUGCAGCCAUGCCGCGUGUAUGAAGAAGGCCUUCGGGUUGUAAAGUACUUUCAGCGGGGAGGAAGGGAGUAAAGUUAAUACCUUUGCUCAUUGACGUUACCCGCAGAAGAAGCACCGGCUAACUCCGUG